Long non-coding RNA from Numida meleagris (helmeted guineafowl), 266 nucleotides. RefSeq lists it as uncharacterized. Lineage: Eukaryota; Metazoa; Chordata; Aves; Galliformes; Numididae. The transcript has 2 exons. The record is from RefSeq and is a predicted model, not a curated record.
AGAGAACUGGCACAUCCCUGAAGCACUGCACAGUGCACAUGGCGACCAUGCGUGCGAAGUGGAAGUGAAGCUAUCAUUCCCUGAAGGAACGUCUGAUACUUAGUGGAUUUAAAGACAUCACAAUGAUGAAUUCACUACACGGCACAUGGUGUUCUGAUUCCUAAAGAUGACCAAACCUGAGUUCAGAUGUUGCUGUCCAUUUUAGGCAUCAAAGUAACAUUACAGCAAUUUGGACAUUCUGAUAUAAAAUAAAUAUACAACUAUAA